AUCCUUUAACACCUGCCAAAAAUGGAUCAAAGGGAGGGAAAUGAGACAUAUAAUCCUAAUUUAUCCUAACAAUCAAUUCUAAAUUUUAGAAUUUUUUGUCCCAUAAAUUCUUAACCCCUGAAACCUCUCUCGACUUCUGGGAAUUUUUUCAAGACUGCAGACAACUCACUAAGAGAAAAGAAAAACUCUCUCGGCUCUCCCUUUAUUCACACUCACACAACACAACACACCAACACAAACACACGCAUCACUCAAUUCUUUUUCUCUCCUGGCUCUCACGCACACCCAUCUUCGGAGCAAAGAAAGGUGAAAGAAGGAAGUAAAGACAGCAAGCGAAUAAAUGGUUGAAACUUAAGGAUUUCUCCAAAAUUUUAACCAAGGAACUACAAUUUUCAUUGAGGUUUUGGUUGUUGUUGUGCUGUCUGGACAUCGGGCAAAUCAUAGAACAAGAUUAA
Non-coding RNA from Coffea arabica (coffee), 455 nucleotides. NCBI's taxonomy places the organism in Eukaryota, Viridiplantae, Streptophyta, Magnoliopsida, Gentianales, Rubiaceae. The record is from RefSeq and is a predicted model, not a curated record.